CAGCCGCCACGGUAAAACGGAGGGGGCUAGCGUUGUUCGGAAUUACUGGGCGUAAAGCGCACGUAGGCGGCUUGGUAAGUUAGAGGUGAAAGCCUGGAGCUCAACUCCAGAAUUGCCUUUAAGACUGCCGAGCUAGCAGGUGAGAGAGGUAAGUGGAAUUCCGAGUGUAGAGGUGAAAUUCGUAGAUAUUCGGAAGAACACCAGUGGCGAAGGCGGCUUACUGGCUCAUACUGGACGCUGAGGUGCGAAAGCGUGGGGAGCAAACAGGAUUAGAUACCCGCGUAGUCCCUGUCUCUUAUAC
RNAcentral lists this ribosomal RNA (301 nucleotides) under uncultured bacterium. RNAcentral describes it as "partial 16S ribosomal RNA". It matches the Rfam family "Bacterial small subunit ribosomal RNA", at positions 509 to 807 of the family's 1533-position model. The record is from RNAcentral.